This 491-nucleotide ribosomal RNA is filed under the name uncultured cyanobacterium. RNAcentral's name for it is "bacterial SSU rRNA". It matches the Rfam family "Bacterial small subunit ribosomal RNA", at positions 414 to 918 of the family's 1533-position model. The record is from RNAcentral. Lineage: Bacteria; Bacillati; Cyanobacteriota.
GCCUUUGGGUUGUAAACCUCUUUUAUCAAGGAGGAAGUUCUGACGUGUACUUGAUGAAUAAGCAUCGGCUAACUCCGUGCCAGCAGCCGCGGUAAGACGGAGGAUGCAAGUGUUAUCCGGAAUCACUGGGCGUAAAGCGUCUGUAGGUGGUUUAAAAAGUCUGCUGUUAAAAAUUGAAGCUUAACUUCAAAGAUGCCGUAGAAACUUUUAAACUAGAGUAUGAUAGGGGUAGAGGGAAUUUCCAGUGGAGCGGUGAAAUGUGUAGAUAUUGGAAAGACCACCGAUGGCGAAGGCACUCUACUGGGCCAUUACUGACACUGAGAGACGAAAGCUAGGGGAGCAAAUGGGAUUAGAUACCCCAGUAGUCCUAGCUGUAAACGAUGGAUACUAGAUGUUGUGUGUAUUGACCCAUGCAGUAUCGUAGCUAACGCGUUAAGUAUCCCGCCUGGGAAGUAUGCUCGCAAGAGUGAAACUCAAAGGAAUUGACGGAA